GAUGCUAUUUCUAGAGAUAGAAAGUUACUUCGGUACAUCGGUGACAGGUGGUGCAUGGUUGUCGUCAGCUCGUGUCGUGAGAUGUUGGGUUAAGUCCCGCAACGAGCGCAACCCCUAUUGUUAGUUGCCAUCAUUCAGUUUGGGCACUCUAGCGAGACUGCCGGUAAUAAACCGGAGGAAGUGGGGAUGACGUCAAAUCAUCAUGCCCCUUAUGACCUGGGCUACACACGUGCUACAAUGGUUGGUACAACGAGUUGCGAAUCGGUGACGGCGAGCUAAUCUCUUAAAGCCAAUCUCAGUUCGGAUUGUAGGCUGCAACUCGCCUACAUGAAGUCGGAAUCGCUAGUAAUCGCGGAUCAGCACGCCGCGGUGAAUACGUUCCCGGGCCUU
Molecule: ribosomal RNA, 390 nt
Filed under: uncultured Streptococcus sp.
Lineage: Bacteria; Bacillati; Bacillota; Bacilli; Lactobacillales; Streptococcaceae
Description: bacterial SSU rRNA
Rfam family: Bacterial small subunit ribosomal RNA
Source: RNAcentral